This 394-nucleotide long non-coding RNA is filed under the name Toxoplasma gondii VEG. The record is from RNAcentral. Lineage: Eukaryota; Apicomplexa; Conoidasida; Eucoccidiorida; Sarcocystidae.
GUGAGUCCCUCAAUACAAACACGGGGGUCUUGACCCUUUCGCAGCGUUCCUCUACUCCAUCGAAGGGAUCCACCCCGGGCGAAAUUGUGUCAGGCGGUGAAGCGCCUUCAGCGUUCGCUCCUUUCACCUGUGAGUCUUGCACCGUCACACCUGCUUCACGCUCAGGCCACGACUCUACGGUAUAUUCGUUCUUUUCAUCUGCGGAUAAUGCCUUGUCCUCAUGCGCGUGAGGCUCUGAUGUUUUCUCACGGGUGCAGAGGCUGUCUUCAAGAUCAGUCAUCAGGCCAUGAGAGCCCUUCUGCGAGGCAGAAUUCGCAUUGCAGUUGGGAAGUGUAUUGGGAAAGCUCGUACACGCCAAGGGCAAACCUUCACUCCGACAUUCUCUAUAUUCAGG